AUCGCCCUACGGGAGGCAGCAGUGGGGAAUAUUGCACAAUGGGGGGAACCCUGAUGCAGCGACGCCGCGUGGGCGAGGAAGUAUUUCGGUAUGUAAAGCCCUAUCGGCAGGGAAGAAGAAAUGACGGUACCUGAAUAAGAAGCACCGGCUAAAUACGUGCCAGCAGCCGCGGUAAUACGUAUGGUGCAAGCGUUAUCCGGAUUUACUGGGCGUAAAGGGAGCGCAGGCGGCGCGCCAAGGCUGAUGUGAAACCCCGGGGCUCAACCCCGGGCCUGCAUUGGAAACUGGCGGGCCGGAGUGCCGGG
This 305-nucleotide ribosomal RNA is filed under the name uncultured bacterium. RNAcentral describes it as "bacterial SSU rRNA". It matches the Rfam family "Bacterial small subunit ribosomal RNA", at positions 333 to 653 of the family's 1533-position model. The record is from RNAcentral.